This 488-nucleotide long non-coding RNA is filed under the name Pan troglodytes (chimpanzee). RNAcentral describes it as "long non-coding RNA NONPTRT017761". Lineage: Eukaryota; Metazoa; Chordata; Mammalia; Primates; Hominidae. The record is from RNAcentral.
CAUAUGUAUAAUUUGUUCUCAGACAUUGCUGUGAAGACUAAAUAAAAUGCCAUAUGUGGAGGUCAUAAUGUAAUACCUAACACCAGAUAAUUGAGUUUCUAGUCAUAAGCAUGUGCUGUUACCAUAGAAGGUUUGAUGAUAAUUAAGAAGUUCUUGGUUAAACAGCAUUGCUUAAAACACAUAAUAUGGAUAACACCACUCCCAGGAAGAUGGAGCCUUGGUCUCAGACUGAUAGUUUCCCAUUGCCGAUAUGAUGUAAAUUAUUACAGUAUCAACAGCAUUGAUUUUCCAAGGAACUUGAUGCAGCAAAUAAAUAUGUGGUUCAUCAGAAAGAAGCAGAAUCAAGUCAAAUGGGAUUUUAUGCAACAACAUUGGACAUACUUCAUUUAAACGCUUUCAUUUAAAAAGGUAUUUCUACUAUCUAUGCCCAAGUAAGAGAGCAGUAACUUGAGCUACAAAGAAUUAAAAAAAAAACCCUGUCUUGUCAA